CAGCAGCCGCGGGAAUACAGAGGGUGCGAGCGUUAAUCGGAUUUACUGGGCGUAAAGCGUGCGUAGGCGGCUAAUUGAGUCGGAUGUGAAAUCCCCGAGCUUAACUUGGGAAUUGCAUUCGAUACUGGUUAGCUAGAGUGUGGGAGAGGAUGGUAGAAUUCCAGGUGUAGCGGUGAAAUGCGUAGAGAUCUGGAGGAAUACCGAUGGCGAAGGCAGCCAUCUGGCCUAACACUGACGCUGAGGUACGAAAGCAUGGGGAGCAAACAGGAUUAGAGACCCCUGUAGUCCCUGUCUCUUAUAA
RNAcentral lists this ribosomal RNA (301 nucleotides) under uncultured bacterium. RNAcentral's name for it is "partial 16S ribosomal RNA". It matches the Rfam family "Bacterial small subunit ribosomal RNA", at positions 509 to 809 of the family's 1533-position model. The record is from RNAcentral.